CCCCGCCUCCGCCCCGCCUCCUUGGGCUCCGAAGACCGCCCAUCGCCGGAAAUUCGACGCGUGACGUCAAUGCAAUACGUCCACCCACCCCGUCGACGUGGCGUUUCCUCCGGUCUCGCUUCCGGUGGGCGGGUAGCACCUGGGAGAUGCUAGGAUAGAUAGGGCAGUGGGAAAUUUCCGCUGGUGAGCGCUCCCUCCGCAGUCACCCUUCACAAAGGUUUUGAGACUCUCGUGGCUUUCUAGAUCGACAGCUGCGUCCCUGGUCUUUAAAAAGAGGGAAAGACCUUAAUAUCUGAUUUAAAGUCGCUGUCGGCAAAAGGGGGGGGGGCGUGAUCGGAAACCAGGAUGUAAUACUCGGAGCGGCGGAGCUGAUGAUGCGCUACUGUGUUCAGUUAACCAAAAGGCACACACACAGCAUUUUGUUUGAUACUCUCUGCAACGUGUCACUGUCAUCCAGUGCGGUAUUUCCCUGAACAUCCGCCGAGGACGGGAGCCUGGGGUGUUGGAGGCAAAGAGGCCGCUUCUAAUUAGGCAAAACUCGAGAAAUCAUGAAGGGCUCCACGCGUUUCCUUACGCGGCUUGACCUGAAUGGCGCGAUUUCUCUGGAUGCCUGGUGGUCCCUAUACUGUUCGUAGCUACUCAUUGUGAAGACACUGCUGUCUGCAAUUUGGAAAGAAAACCUACCGUUUUCAGCAUCUUGAAGAACUAAGCAAGAAAAAAAAUGCCUGUUUUUCCUAAAAUAUCUUUAAGACCUGAAGUUGAGAAGUAUCUUAAAGACGGCUUUAUGGUAGGAGGCAGGUCAGAUUAACAUAUUUAAUAUUUGCGAAAAUUUAAAUAUUACACGACCUAGCGAAAUAGAUUAAGUCUAACGGGAAAUUUUUUACAGCCUUCGUUUCUUACCAGUUGUCUGUCUAAACGUGAGUAAAAUCCAUUGUCUUCUCACAGAUAACAAAUGCCUGCUGAGAACAAGGUGAAUAAGGUAUACGGUGUAGGAAAGAAGAAAAACGGUGUAGGAAAGAAGAAAAACUGUCAGUGGGCAUAACAGUGAAGGAGUUACAAGAAUGAACAAGAAAAGAUCUCUGCUCUUAACUAAUAUCCAGCAUAUGAAACACACCCAUUCUCUUAAAUCGCAUGCUCCAGCAUUCGGGUGAAAAUAAUAAUUUGUUGAGUGCCUCUCUAAAUGCACUCGGGAGGCUAACUUACAAGGGUAUCUGCGUGUGUGAGGCCAACACUGCACUACAAAGCAAGACCUUGUCUCAAAAAAACAAAACAAAAAAUACGUGCUUGAAAAGCUUCAGUUAGUUGUGAGGGAAGCUGGUGGUUUGGGUCUUUAUACCUUCAUUUCUGACAGAUAUGCUUGCUAGUCAACCAGUUUUUUUAUGGACCAUAUGUAUUUGUUACAUUUUUAAAAAAAUAUUAAAAACUGAUGUCCUGGAGGAAUCUUUGGAUGACAGUGAAUAUAUUAAUAUUGUUUAUACUUCAAAUAUUUUAAAUGGCUCCUAAGUAGUUUGUUAUUGAAUAUAUUUGUGAACAAAAAUAAUUGAAUGAGAUCUUGAAUUUAUUUGAAUAAAUGUAGCAGAUACUGAUAUUUUCAAAACUCUUUGCAGUUGAGGCAGUUUUUUUUAUAUGACUAAAUGCAGCAAAUAUUGAUAUUUUCAAAAUGUUAAUGCUUUGCAGUUGAGGCAGUGUUUUUUUUAUAAACCAGUAAUGGUCAGACAUGAUGUUAAGUGCUUAUUACCAUAACACAAUUCAAGAAUCCUGUGAAGUGUUACUAUUUCCUUAAUGUUAAUUAUCACUAAAAUGAUAACUCCAACUUGAAAUGGAGCUGAACAGUUGUUUCGUUAGGUGGAACAAAUCUCAUUCUGCUGAUUAUUUCAGUUUGUUUGAUGAAAGAAAAACAUUAACUUGUUCUUUUCAUUUCAGGUUGUAAAUACUUUAGGCAAAGCAGCAGCAGAAAGGAAGUUUGAAACUCUGUUGAAACAUCUGUCACACCCUCCCUCAUUCACAACUGUUAGAGUAAAUACACAUUUAACCUCAGUUCAGCAUGUGAAAACUCUGUUGCUUGAUGAAUUUCAGAAGGCAGGUGCUUAUGCUGCUGAGCUAAAUCUCCAGCCCCAUUAUUGUGGAUUUUUUAACUUCACGCACAGAUUUUGACUGGUCUAAAUACUCUCAGUAGGUGACAAGACCAAGGAGUGAACUAAAGCCCUGUGCUUUGUGUCUGACCCCAUAUGAUGAUGUCACCAUCAAUGAUCUUGAACAGUCUUUACUGAUUGGUGAAAGAAACAACUGCUCGUCCUUAUGGUGGAGUACUAUGCAGUCAUUACAAAUGACAGUUCACACCUAUGCUUACUGUUUGGAAAUUGUUCAUUUUUUAUUCACUUUUUUUUUUACCAUUUAAGCAAAAUAGUGUUUCACCACAAGAUAAUCCCGACAUAAAAGUAGUUACCACAGUGUCUCUUUCCUUGAAAUCUUUGAGUAUAACUUUGUAUACUGUAGCAUCAAAGAUAUCAAAACAAUGUAAAACCAUUCAAGAGAAUGACAGUAUUACAGGGUAUUUAGAAUCAACUAUCAGAAAAUGAACAAUGGUUUCUGUAUAAUCUCCUUGUCUAUAAAAGUUUUUGUUUAUAUUAUCACAUAUAAUAAAAUCCAAUAAGAUACAACAUGUUAAGACCACUGUAGACAGAAGAAUAAAAGCUUGAUGGGACUUCAAAACAAGAGGAUAUUAAAUCAGCACUAGCUAUUAUGAUGUCUUGUUUUCUCCAAAAUGGCUGUUCAUACCAUCCAACCUUCUCUGCCUCAUUUCUGUUGAGCUCUUUUUCUGUCACUAAUUGUCAGUUUGUCUUCUCCAUUUCACUUUCUGCUCCAUUCAUUGUGGUCUCUCUGCCACUGUUUCUGGAUUCUUCGUAUUUUUCUUUUUUAGAAGAUCCUGCAGUAUUCUCUGUAGAGUUGAAUUGGUGGUUGCAUAUUCCUCUAGUUCCUCUUUAUCCUGGAAGCACCUUGUUUUUCCAUCAAUUUCCAGGAAUAGUUGUGCAGGAUAUCUCAAUCUUGGCUGGAGAUUAUUAUCUUUCAAAGCUUGAAUUAUUUCCCCCCGCACUCUUCGUGAUUUAAUGGUUUGUGCUGAGAAGUCUGCUGUAAUUCUUGGUUCCAUACAUUUCUACUUAUUCCAGAUUAAAGAACAGUUAAUAGGAAUGAAUGAUUUUGUUGACAUUUUCACUUGUAACGUUUUUGCCUGAAAGAAAUGCAUUUAUUGGGUGCAGUGGUUUGUUGAAAUACUUUGUGAUGAGGCCAGACAGGCUCUGUGCAUAAUACUGGGAAGUUUCUUCCUAAAUAGCAAGAAAACUUCAUAAAUUUGUGGCCUAUCAAGCACUAAAAGUUUCAGAUUUCAGAAAGUGGAAGAGUGAUCCUUUGUUAUUUUAAUGAAAGUUGAAAUUAAGAAUUUUUGAUCCACCUCCCUUGGUCUGACAAAUUAUGUAUCUCAGCUCCUUUCUAUCUUGAAUCUAUGAAGUUGCAUCUAUAGAUCAUAAAUCACAAAGCAAAACAAAACAUCAAUGAAAUGUUUACUGUGUGAAUUUAAGUCACUAUUUCUCAUGGAAAUUCAGUCUAUUUUUUCCCCCUUAACCUUUUAAUUCCUAUUCCCUUUGAAAUUUUCCUUUUGUCUAUAAAUGUUUCAGUUAGCUCUGGAUGGUCUCAGACCUAAUUGCUGUCUAUGUGCUGUGGUUUUCCUCUUAUAAAGGACAGAGGCUAAGAAUACCUGCAUCUGAAUACAUUUCGAUGGAGUAAAUAGAUGCUUUGAACUGCC
This is a long non-coding RNA of Cavia porcellus (domestic guinea pig), 3799 nucleotides long. RefSeq lists it as uncharacterized. The record is from RefSeq and is a predicted model, not a curated record. NCBI's taxonomy places the organism in Eukaryota, Metazoa, Chordata, Mammalia, Rodentia, Caviidae. The transcript has 2 exons.